This 494-nucleotide ribosomal RNA is filed under the name uncultured bacterium. RNAcentral describes it as "partial 16S ribosomal RNA". It matches the Rfam family "Bacterial small subunit ribosomal RNA", at positions 28 to 507 of the family's 1533-position model. The record is from RNAcentral.
GACGAACGCUGGCGGCGUGCUUAACACAUGCAAGUCGAACGGUGAAGCGCCUUCCUUUUUGGUGGGUGUGGAUGAGUGGCGAACGGGUGAGUAACACGUGAGUAACCUGCCCCCUUCUUCUGGAUAACCGCAUGAAAGUGUUGCUAAUACGGGAUAUUCUGGGUCUGUCGCAUGAUGGGUCUGGGAAAGAUAUUGUUUCGGUGGGGGAUGGGCUCGCGGCCUAUCAGCUUGUUGGUGGGGUGAUGGCCUACCAAGGCGGUGACGGGUAGCCGGCCUGGGUGCGUGGACGAGCAGAAUGGGGCUGAGGAACGGCCACACUGGGAACGAGAGACAGCAGUGAGGAAUAUGGGACGAAGGGGGGAGGGAUAAUGCAGAGACGCGGCGUGAGGGAUGGAGGCAUGCGGGUUGGAAGAAGCUUGCGCUAGUAAAGCAAGCCUGCGUCGUUUGGGGGUAGGUUGACGGUAGCUAAAAAGGAAGCGCCGGCUAACUACGUG